RNAcentral lists this ribosomal RNA (1133 nucleotides) under Clostridioides difficile. RNAcentral's name for it is "partial 23S ribosomal RNA". It matches the Rfam family "Bacterial large subunit ribosomal RNA", at positions 1559 to 2703 of the family's 2925-position model. The record is from RNAcentral. Lineage: Bacteria; Bacillati; Bacillota; Clostridia; Peptostreptococcales; Peptostreptococcaceae.
GGAUGUGAUGGGGAGCGAAAUUUAGUAGCGAAGUAGCUGAUUUCACACUGUCAAGAAAAGUCUCUAUCGAGGUUAAAGGUACCCGUACCGCAAACCGACACAGGUGGGUGAGGAGAGUAUCCUAAGGCCAGCGAGAGAACUGUUGUUAAGGAACUCGGCAAAAUGACCCCGUAACUUAGGGAUAAGGGGUGCCACCAUCAGGUGGCCGCAGAGAAUAGGCCCAAGCGACUGUUUACCAAAAACAUAGGUUUCUGCUAAGUCGCAAGACGAUGUAUAGGAGCUGACGCCUGCCCGGUGCUGGAAGGUUAAGGGGAUCUGUUAGAGCAAUCGAAGCAGUGAACUUAAGCCCCAGUAAACGGCGGCCGUAACUAUAACGGUCCUAAGGUAGCGAAAUUCCUUGUCGGGUAAGUUCCGACCCGCACGAAAGGCGUAACGAUUUGGGCACUGUCUCAACAACAGACUCGGUGAAAUUGUAAUUCCGGUGAAGAUGCCGGAUACCUGCGACAGGACGGAAAGACCCCAUGGAGCUUUACUGUAGCUUGACAUUGGGUCUUGGUACUACAUGUACAGGAUAGGUGGGAGGCUUUGAAACCAGGACGCCAGUUUUGGCGGAGCCAUCCUUGGGAUACCACCCUUGUAGUACUGGGACUCUAACCAUAGGCCAUGAAUCUGGUCUUGGGACACUGUCAGGUGGGCAGUUUGACUGGGGCGGUCGCCUCCCAAAAGGUAACGGAGGCGCUCAAAGGUUCUCUCAGUACGGUCGGAAAUCGUACGUAGAGUGUAAAGGCAAAAGAGAGCUUGAUUGCAAGACAUACAGGUCGAGCAAGGAUGAAAAUCGGACUUAGUGAUCCGGUGGUUCUGCGUGGAAGGGCCAUCGCUCAACGGAUAAAAGCUACCCUGGGGAUAACAGGCUUAUCUCCCCCAAGAGUCCACAUCGACGGGGAGGUUUGGCACCUCGAUGUCGGCUCAUCACAUCCUGGGGCUGUAGUAGGUCCCAAGGGUUGGGCUGUUCGCCCAUUAAAGUGGUACGCGAGCUGGGUUCAGAACGUCGUGAGACAGUUCGGUCCCUAUCCGUCGCAGGCGUAGGAAAUUUGAGAAGACCUGUCCUUAGUACGAGAGGACCGGGAUGGACG